GCCCCACCUGCCAGGGGCGGCGCGGGUAGCUGUAUGGGAGUAGAGGGGCAGAGGAGUGUGGUCUGAGCGAGCGAGUGUGUGCGCGCGUGCGCGAGUGCGAGGCGGGGAGAAGGAGGUUGUCAUGGAGACCUGGGCCAGACUCUCUGGCUGCUGCAUCAGUUUCCGUGGCAACACCUAAGAAGGCCUUGGAUUGAUGAGGGCCUGGCUAGGAAACUGUAUCCACAAAAGGCCACUCAGGCCCCAGGCAUUCCAGUGGCUGCCCCAACAGGCUGGAGACACUCACCACAAGUCUACGUAUGACCAGGGGACCCAGAGACCAACACCAGGACUUGACCUUGAGACACCUGCACUCCCACCACCUGGUUCUCCCAGCUCUCUGGGCUGAGCUUGGCUGCCCAGAAGGAAUUGAGAUGGGAACUGAGACUGGAAAACCCCUUGGACACCCUGUGCUUCAAAUCCCAGCUCUGCCCCUUGCUAGCUGUUUCACUUCUGUCGGUUUAUACUGGCUGAGCCUGUUUCCCCCCAUGUAAAACAGGGAUAAUGUCUUCCCGGCGGUUGUUAUGACACAUAAAUGACAUGAAAUGCUA
Long non-coding RNA from Cynocephalus volans (Philippine flying lemur), 587 nucleotides. RefSeq lists it as uncharacterized. The transcript is spliced from 3 exons. NCBI's taxonomy places the organism in Eukaryota, Metazoa, Chordata, Mammalia, Dermoptera, Cynocephalidae. The record is from RefSeq and is a predicted model, not a curated record.